This 624-nucleotide ribosomal RNA is filed under the name uncultured bacterium. RNAcentral describes it as "bacterial SSU rRNA". The stretch from base 1 to 539 matches the Rfam family "Bacterial small subunit ribosomal RNA", at positions 338 to 873 of the family's 1533-position model. The record is from RNAcentral.
CCUACGGGAGGCAGCAGUAAGGAAUAUUGGACAAUGCCCGCAAGGGUGAUCCAGCUAUGCCGCGUGCAGGAAGAAGGCCCUAUGGGUCGUAAACUGCUUUUACACCGGAGAAAACCUCCCUUCGUGAAGGGAGCUGAUAGUAUGGUGAGAAUAAGCAUCGGCUAACUUCGUGCCAGCAGCCGCGGUAAGACGAAGGAUGCAAGCGUUAUCCGGAUUCAUUGGGUUUAAAGGGAGCGUAGGUGGACUGAUAAGUCAGUGGUGAAAUCUUCGAGCUUAACUCGGAAAUUGCCAUUGAUACUGUUAGUCUUGAGUACAGUUGCUGUGGGCGGAAUAUGACAUGUAGUGGUGAAAUACAUAGAGAUGUCAUAGAACACCGAUUGCGAAGGCAGCUCACAAAGCUGUAACUGACACUGAGGCUCGAAAGUGCGGGGAUCAAACAGGAUUAGAUACCCUGGUAGUCCGCACUGUAAACGAUGAUUACUCGCUGCUAAGGAGGCUACGUUUAGUGUCUUAGCGAAGCGUAAGUAAGUAAUUCCGACGUGGGGAGUUACGGCCGGCGACGGUUGAAACGUUAAGAGUUAGUUACGGACGNGAGAGAGCGACGACGACGACGAGGAGGAGGAG